RNAcentral lists this signal recognition particle RNA (264 nucleotides) under Clostridiales bacterium. Its description in RNAcentral is "signal recognition particle sRNA large type". It matches the Rfam family "Bacterial large signal recognition particle RNA". From Rfam's summary of the family: The signal recognition particle (SRP) is a universally conserved ribonucleoprotein involved in the co-translational targeting of proteins to membranes. Archaeal SRP consists of a 7S RNA and homologues of the eukaryotic SRP19 and SRP54 proteins. The record is from RNAcentral. Lineage: Bacteria; Bacillati; Bacillota; Clostridia; Eubacteriales.
CUGCACUAGGUGGAGAAUUAGCGGAACUCCGUACCCAAACGCUAUAUGUGGGGCUGACAAACUAUAUGCGGGAAUAACUGAAUAUAAUUUAUACUUAACCGGAUUGUUGAGUUUAAGGUCUUAUGCAAUACUUUGCUGUGAAUCAUGUCAGGGUAGGAAUACAGCAGCAUUAAAUAGAUUUAAGUAUGUGCCAUAAGGUUGCUUUAAAGGAGAUUUGAUUAUUUAUGGAUUAUAUAUCAAGUGUUUUCAAUUAUAGCCGUGCAG